GCUGAACCAGGAAAAGUGGCCACUGAGAGUCUCCACCCUAGACACAGCUGUGGGCUGAGCUGGGUUCCGGGCCUCCCACGGAGCACCACACUGGGGACAAGCAGGGGUCUGAACAGAGCAGAAGAAGAUUCCUGGCGGUAGAACUUUUCGCAGGGAGCUGAAAUGAAGCUGUUGCUGGAGUAGCAACAAAACCCCCAGCUCACAUGGAACAGUUUGCGCUUCACAACACCCUGGGAAGUAUCACAACCCUUUCACAGAUAACUGAGAUGAGAUCCUUAACCCUUUUCAUGGGUCUUGGCUACAAUCACCUGCGGCUGUUGUCUUCAUUUACUUCCUGGACCUGGGGCUUUGGGAUUUGGAAUCCUCCUCUAGAUAGUCUUUCUUGGUACAUUUCACUUUGUUCUGAUUAUCUACUGCUGCAUAAUAAACCACUGCAAACUUGGCAAC
This 447-nucleotide long non-coding RNA is filed under the name Suricata suricatta (meerkat). RNAcentral describes it as "lncRNA (ENSSSUG00005003692.1)". Lineage: Eukaryota; Metazoa; Chordata; Mammalia; Carnivora; Herpestidae. The record is from RNAcentral.